UGCCUGGUUGCCCCGUAUACCUUAGGAC
RNAcentral lists this non-coding RNA (28 nucleotides) under Mus musculus (house mouse). Lineage: Eukaryota; Metazoa; Chordata; Mammalia; Rodentia; Muridae. The record is from RNAcentral.